Molecule: ribosomal RNA, 460 nt
Filed under: uncultured bacterium
Lineage: Bacteria
Description: partial 16S ribosomal RNA
Rfam family: Bacterial small subunit ribosomal RNA
Source: RNAcentral
CCUACGGGCGGCAGCAGUGAGGAAUAUUGGUCAAUGGACGAGAGUCUGAACCAGCCAAGUAGCGUGAAGGAUGACUGCCCUAUGGGUUGUAAACUUCUUUUAUAUGGGAAUAAAAUGUUCCACGUGUGGGAUUUUGUAUGUACCAUAUGAAUAAGGAUCGGCUAACUCCGUGCCAGCAGCCGCAGUAAUACGGAGGAUCCGAGCGUUAGCCGGAUUUAUUGGGUUUAAAGGGAGCGUAGGUGGAUUGUUAAGUCAGUUGUGAAAGUUUGCGGCUCAACCGUAAAAUUGCAGUUGAAACUGGCAGUCUUGAGUACAGUAGAGGUGGGCGGAAUUCGUGGUGUAGCGGUGAAAUGCUUAGAUAUCACGAAGAACUCCGAUUGCGAAGGCAGUUCACUGGACUGCAACUGACACUGAGGCUCGAAAGUGUGGGUAUCAAACAGGAUUAGAUACCCGUGUAGUC